CUAUGACCGCGUUAAGGAUUGAAACGGCAUCCUUUUUGCAUUUUUUUUGCAAAAAGAUAUAGUUGAAAGCCUGACCGAUA
This 80-nucleotide small RNA is filed under the name Lacinutrix venerupis. RNAcentral's name for it is "Flavo-1 RNA". It matches the Rfam family "Flavo-1 RNA". Lineage: Bacteria; Pseudomonadati; Bacteroidota; Flavobacteriia; Flavobacteriales; Flavobacteriaceae. The record is from RNAcentral.